CCUAGAGUUGUAGGCUUUGCCUGCUAUCUCUUACCCAUGUCUUUUGAGUACCUUCGUUUCCUCGGCGGGUCCGCCCGCCGAUUGGACAAUUUAAACCAUUUGCAGUUGCAAUCAGCGUCUGAAAAAAUUUAAUAGUUA
This 138-nucleotide unclassified non-coding RNA is filed under the name soil metagenome. RNAcentral's name for it is "partial internal transcribed spacer 1". The record is from RNAcentral.